GACGUACAUGAGAUGUGGCCCUCAGCUACACACAAAAAGAAAUCCUCUAUCCCGGUGGAGGCUCAGCGAUGCUGAUUGCUAACCCAUGGGGGCAGAGGGAGAUGGAGGGGGGAAAUCUUCCAAAGCAGGGCUGCCAGGUGAGAAAACCACGGGGACAUCUGUGUCCUUGGGCAGCACGGGCACAAGCAGGAGGACCUGGCCUCAGGACUCGAACAGCAAGCAGAACAGCCACUGGAUAACGUGUGGAAAAUGGUGAUGGGGCCUCACUAAACUUAACAUCCUCCCCUCAAAAUCAUCAUCAUCGGGAUUGUUGAGUUUGGUCCUGAUCACAACGUGAUGCAUCGAGUUGGACACCUUGGGGGCAACGAGGCAGGGGUUAAAUGCUGAUUGGGAAAGCUCUACACUCACUAGAGGGAGAAUUCUGGUUACAGCAAGUUGGUGUCAGUUAAAAGGGGAGCUGCUUUGAACUGCGGGCUCUUCUGGAGUUGUUUUUCUUCUUGCAGGAAAUCCUGGGUGUCUGAAAAAUGAAAUCCUUUCACUUGAGGAGGUCACGGGGUGCUGGCCAGCAGCCAGGCACAGGGCUCCUGCGCGGCUCUGCCCGUUCCUCUCCACGAGCCCAUCGCUUCCUCCACGACGCUCCUCUUGCACGUAUUUCUGCACGCUGCGAGGAGAGGCUUAGAUUUGCUCUUCUGCUUGUGAUUUAGCUCACCCUGUGCUUGGAGGAGGCCGGUAACGUCUUAAGACCUAUCGCAGUCCCCGAACAUAAAACCCCGCGUUGCUGGGGAGAGGUUGACUCGACUGAGCCGCAUGAUCGGAGUCAGGUGACGAUAUUGGGCACAAAACCGGAGGAGAACAAACAGUUGGGCGCAGGAGAUUAGCUGCUGGUCCUGCCUUUUGACAAGCUGUGUCACUCCUCGGGGGAAAAUGAGUGCCUGGCCCUCUCCUCUGCUUUGGAGCUUCACCAUGGUGUGUUUAACAGGUAUUGCUUUAGGCCAGACAACCACUACCUGGCCCCCUGUUGCAUCAACACCAGUGCCUCCUAGUGCAGCCACCACCCAGGUCCCUGUUGCAUCAACCCCAGCACCUCCCAGUACAAUCACCACCCAGGUCCCCAUUGCAUCAACCCCAGUGCCUCCCAGUGCAGCCAGUACCGCGGCCUCUGCACCUCAAACUGCCUCUACAAUGCUCUUGGCUGGAGUGACAUCAACCACUGCAAACCUUGUUGUGUCCACGGCAGUGCCUUCUGCUGAUCCAAGCACAAAAGAGCCAACUCAAACUCUGACCACCACCACGGAUGUGACCGUCCUCACCUCUGGCAGCAUGGCCACCUCUCAAGUGUCUACAGGACUAAUGACCAUGUCUACCAGCACCCCAGCAUCCCCUCCAGGUGUGACCACAACUCCUGGGGUCCCAUCAGCAGUUCUGUUCCUCACCACCAUAAGGCCCUCAAACUGCAGCAGAGUGAACGUGACAUCCUGUGCCCGCUGCUCCCCAGGGACAUUUCCCAAUGAAGCUUCACAAGGAGCACCGCAUGCCUUCCCUGCCCACCCGGUAAUUACGCUAAUGAGUCUGGGGCUGCAGCCUGCAGAGCAUGUGAGAAAGGGUAUUUUAGCUCCAAGCAAAAUGCAUCUUUUUGUCUGCCUUGCCCGUCUGGAUCAUUUUGCAACACCACCAGCUGCAGGGGGUGUCUGCUGUGCCCCAGUGGGCAAGAGGCUCUUCGGGAGGCGUCGGAGGAGUGCACGCCCUGCCGGCCAGGUACCUUCUGCAGCGGAGGGUGAGGGCUGCCAUAGCCUGGCUGGAAACGGGCAGCUUCAGCGCCAGAAGGAACGAUUUCUUCCCGAGAUGUGUCUCCCUUGCCCCAGCGGACCCUGGGGACGGGGGGUUGCCUGA
RNAcentral lists this long non-coding RNA (1890 nucleotides) under Calidris pygmaea (Spoon-billed sandpiper). RNAcentral describes it as "lncRNA (ENSCPGG00000009305.1)". The record is from RNAcentral. Lineage: Eukaryota; Metazoa; Chordata; Aves; Charadriiformes; Scolopacidae.